This 2905-nucleotide ribosomal RNA is filed under the name Klebsiella michiganensis. RNAcentral describes it as "23S ribosomal RNA". It matches the Rfam family "Bacterial large subunit ribosomal RNA". The record is from RNAcentral. Lineage: Bacteria; Pseudomonadati; Pseudomonadota; Gammaproteobacteria; Enterobacterales; Enterobacteriaceae.
GGUUAAGCGACUAAGCGUACACGGUGGAUGCCCUGGCAGUCAGAGGCGAUGAAGGACGUGCUAAUCUGCGAAAAGCGUCGGUAAGGUGAUAUGAACCGUUAUAGCCGGCGAUGUCCGAAUGGGGAAACCCAGUGCAAUUCGUUGCACUAUCGUUAACUGAAUACAUAGGUUAACGAGGCGAACCGGGGGAACUGAAACAUCUAAGUACCCCGAGGAAAAGAAAUCAACCGAGAUUCCCCCAGUAGCGGCGAGCGAACGGGGAGCAGCCCGGAGUCUGAAUCAGCUUGUGUGUUAGUGGAAGCGUCUGGAAAGUCGCAGGGUACAGGGUGAUACUCCCGUACACUAAAACACACAGGUUGUGAACUCGAAGAGUAGGGCGGGACACGUGGUAUCCUGUCUGAAUAUGGGGGGACCAUCCUCCAAGGCUAAAUACUCCUGACUGACCGAUAGUGAACCAGUACCGUGAGGGAAAGGCGAAAAGAACCCCGGCGAGGGGAGUGAAAAAGAACCUGAAACCGUGUACGUACAAGCAGUAGGAGCCCACUAGUUGGGUGACUGCGUACCUUUUGUAUAAUGGGUCAGCGACUUAUAUUCUGUAGCAAGGUUAACCGUAUAGGGGAGCCGCAGGGAAACCGAGUCUUAACUGGGCGUUAAGUUGCAGGGUAUAGACCCGAAACCCGGUGAUCUAGCCAUGGGCAGGUUGAAGGUUGGGUAACACUAACUGGAGGACCGAACCGACUAAUGUUGAAAAAUUAGCGGAUGACUUGUGGCUGGGGGUGAAAGGCCAAUCAAACCGGGAGAUAGCUGGUUCUCCCCGAAAGCUAUUUAGGUAGCGCCUCGUGAAUUCAUCUUCGGGGGUAGAGCACUGUUUCGGCUAGGGGGUCAUCCCGACUUACCAACCCGAUGCAAACUACGAAUACCGAAGAAUGUUAUCACGGGAGACACACGGCGGGUGCUAACGUCCGUCGUGAAGAGGGAAACAACCCAGACCGCCAGCUAAGGUCCCAAAGUCAUGGUUAAGUGGGAAACGAUGUGGGAAGGCCCAGACAGCCAGGAUGUUGGCUUAGAAGCAGCCAUCAUUUAAAGAAAGCGUAAUAGCUCACUGGUCGAGUCGGCCUGCGCGGAAGAUGUAACGGGGCUAAACCAUGCACCGAAGCUGCGGCAGCGACACUAUGUGUUGUUGGGUAGGGGAGCGUUCUGUAAGCCGUUGAAGGUGGCCUGUGAGGGUUGCUGGAGGUAUCAGAAGUGCGAAUGCUGACAUAAGUAACGAUAAUGCGGGUGAAAAACCCGCACGCCGGAAGACCAAGGGUUCCUGUCCAACGUUAAUCGGGGCAGGGUGAGUCGACCCCUAAGGCGAGGCCGAAAGGCGUAGUCGAUGGGAAACAGGUUAAUAUUCCUGUACUCGGUGUUACUGCGAAGGGGGGACGGAGAAGGCUAUGUUGGCCGGGCGACGGUUGUCCCGGUUUAAGCGUGUAGGUGUGUGUUCCAGGUAAAUCCGGUUCACUUUAACACUGAGGCGUGAUGACGAGGCACUACGGUGCUGAAGUGACAAAUGCCCUGCUUCCAGGAAAAGCCUCUAAGCAUCAGGUAACAUCAAAUCGUACCCCAAACCGACACAGGUGGUCAGGUAGAGAAUACCAAGGCGCUUGAGAGAACUCGGGUGAAGGAACUAGGCAAAAUGGUGCCGUAACUUCGGGAGAAGGCACGCUGAUGGUAGGUGAAGCGACUUGCUCGUGGAGCUGAAAUCAGUCGAAGAUACCAGCUGGCUGCAACUGUUUAUUAAAAACACAGCACUGUGCAAACACGAAAGUGGACGUAUACGGUGUGACGCCUGCCCGGUGCCGGAAGGUUAAUUGAUGGGGUUAUCCUCGCGGAGAAGCUCUUGAUCGAAGCCCCGGUAAACGGCGGCCGUAACUAUAACGGUCCUAAGGUAGCGAAAUUCCUUGUCGGGUAAGUUCCGACCUGCACGAAUGGCGUAAUGAUGGCCAGGCUGUCUCCACCCGAGACUCAGUGAAAUUGAACUCGCUGUGAAGAUGCAGUGUACCCGCGGCAAGACGGAAAGACCCCGUGAACCUUUACUAUAGCUUGACACUGAACACUGGUCCUUGAUGUGUAGGAUAGGUGGGAGGCUUUGAAGUGUGGACGCCAGUCUGCAUGGAGCCAUCCUUGAAAUACCACCCUUUAAUGGCUGGUGUUCUAACGUGGGCCCCUAAUCGGGGUUGCGGACAGUGUCUGGUGGGUAGUUUGACUGGGGCGGUCUCCUCCUAAAGAGUAACGGAGGAGCACGAAGGUCAGCUAAUCCUGGUCGGACAUCAGGAGGUUAGUGCAAUGGCAUAAGCUGGCUUGACUGCGAGCGUGACGGCGCGAGCAGGUGCGAAAGCAGGUCAUAGUGAUCCGGUGGUUCUGAAUGGAAGGGCCAUCGCUCAACGGAUAAAAGGUACUCCGGGGAUAACAGGCUGAUACCGCCCAAGAGUUCAUAUCGACGGCGGUGUUUGGCACCUCGAUGUCGGCUCAUCACAUCCUGGGGCUGAAGUAGGUCCCAAGGGUAUGGCUGUUCGCCAUUUAAAGUGGUACGCGAGCUGGGUUUAGAACGUCGUGAGACAGUUCGGUCCCUAUCUGCCGUGGGCGCUGGAGAAUUGAGGGGGGCUGCUCCUAGUACGAGAGGACCGGAGUGGACGCAUCACUGGUGUUCGGGUUGUCAUGCCAAUGGCAUUGCCCGGUAGCUAAAUGCGGAAGAGAUAAGUGCUGAAAGCAUCUAAGCACGAAACUUGCCCCGAGAUGAGUUCUCCCUGACUCCUUGAGAGUCCUGAAGGAACGUUGAAGACGACGACGUUGAUAGGCCGGGUGUGUAAGCGCAGCGAUGCGUUGAGCUAACCGGUACUAAUGAACCGUGAGGCUUAACCUU